This 497-nucleotide ribosomal RNA is filed under the name uncultured bacterium. RNAcentral describes it as "partial 16S ribosomal RNA". It matches the Rfam family "Bacterial small subunit ribosomal RNA", at positions 28 to 507 of the family's 1533-position model. The record is from RNAcentral.
GAUGAACGCUGGCGGCGUGCCUAAUACAUGCAAGUCGAGCGAACAGACGAGGAGCUUGCUCCUCUGACGUUAGCGGCGGACGGGUGAGUAACACGUGGAUAACCUACCUAUAAGACUGGGAUAACUUCGGGAAACCGGAGCUAAUACCGGAUAAUAUAUUGAACCGCAUGGUUCAAUAGUGAAAGACGGUUUUGCUGUCACUUAUAGAUGGAUCCGCGCCGCAUUAGCUAGUUGGUAAGGUAACGGCUUACCAAGGCAACGAUGCGUAGCCGACCUGAGAGGGUGAUCGGCCACACUGGAACUGAGACACGGUCGAGACUCCUACGGGAGGCAGCAGUAGGGAAUCUUCCGCAAUGGGCGAAAGCCUGACGGAGCAACGCCGCGUGAGUGAUGAAGGUCUUCGGAUCGUAAAACUCUGUUAUUAGGGAAGAACAAAUGUGUAAGUAACCAUGCACGUCUUGACGGUACCUAAUCAGAAAGCCACGGCUAACUACGUG